This 468-nucleotide ribosomal RNA is filed under the name uncultured bacterium. RNAcentral describes it as "partial 16S ribosomal RNA". The stretch from base 20 to 332 matches the Rfam family "Bacterial small subunit ribosomal RNA", at positions 47 to 358 of the family's 1533-position model. The record is from RNAcentral.
GACGAACGCUGGCGGCGUGCUUAACACAUGCAAGUCGAACGGAAAGGCCCUGCUUUUGUGGGGUGCUCGAGUGGCGAACGGGUGAGUAACACGUGAGUAACCUGCCCUUGACUUUGGGAUAACUUCAGGAAACUGGGGCUAAUACCGGAUAGGAGCUCCUGCUGCAUGGUGGGGGUUGGAAAGUUUCGGCGGUUGGGGAUGGACUCGCGGCUUAUCAGCUUGUUGGUGGGGUAGUGGCUUACCAAGGCUUUGACGGGUAGCCGGCCUGAGAGGGUGACCGGGGACAAGGGGAAUGAGAGAGGGAGCAGACGGGGACGGGAGGCAGCGGGGGGGAGGAGGGCGGAGCGGGGGGGAGCCGGAGGCGGAGAGGUGGUGUGCGGGAUGAGGGGGGACGGGGGGAGAACAGAUGGGGAAGGGGACGAAGAGUGAGGGACGGGAAGGGGUAAAGAAGCAACGGCUAACUAAGGG